RNAcentral lists this ribosomal RNA (404 nucleotides) under Actinomycetes bacterium. RNAcentral describes it as "Actinobacteria bacterium partial 16S ribosomal RNA". It matches the Rfam family "Bacterial small subunit ribosomal RNA", at positions 355 to 776 of the family's 1533-position model. The record is from RNAcentral. Lineage: Bacteria; Bacillati; Actinomycetota; Actinomycetes.
UGGGGAAUAUUGGACAAUGGGCGCAAGCCUGAUCCAGCCAUGCCGCGUGAGUGAUGAAGGCCCUAGGGUUGUAAAGCUCUUUCACCGGUGAAGAUAAUGACGGUAACCGGAGAAGAAGCCCCGGCUAACUUCGUGCCAGCAGCCGCGGUAAUACGAAGGGGGCUAGCGUUGUUCGGAUUUACUGGGCGUAAAGCGCACGUAGGCGGGCUUUUAAGUCAGGGGUGAAAUCCCGGGGCUCAACCCCGGAACUGCCUUUGAUACUGGAAGUCUUGAGUAUGGUAGAGGUGAGUGGAAUUCCGAGUGUAGAGGUGAAAUUCGUAGAUAUUCGGAGGAACACCAGUGGCGAAGGCGGAUCACUGGACCAUUACUGACGCUGAGGUGCGAAAGCGUGGGGAGCAAACAGG